This 502-nucleotide ribosomal RNA is filed under the name uncultured bacterium. Its description in RNAcentral is "partial 16S ribosomal RNA". It matches the Rfam family "Bacterial small subunit ribosomal RNA", at positions 30 to 523 of the family's 1533-position model. The record is from RNAcentral.
AUUGAACGCUGGCGGCGUGCUUUACACAUGCAAGUCGAGCGGCAGCAUAUCCUUGUGGAUGAUGGCGAGCGGCGAACGGGUGAGUAAUACAUCGGAACGUGCCUAAUAGUGGGGGAUAACGCAUCGAAAGAUGUGCUAAUACCGCAUAAGCUCUGAGGAGGAAAGGCGGGGACCAUUUAUGGCCUGUCACUAAUAGAGCGGCCGAUGGCCGAUUAGCUAGUUGGUGGGGUAAAGGCUUACCAAGGCGAUGAUCGGUAGCUGUUCUGAGAGGAAGAUCAGCCACACUGGGACUGAGACACGGCCCAGACUCCUACGGGAGGCAGCAGUGGGGAAUUUUGGACAAUGGGGGGAACCCUGAUCCAGCAACGCCGCGUGAAUGAAGAAGGCCUUCGGGUUGUAAAGUUCUUUUGUCGCAGAGCAAAGCUUAGGUGCUAAUAUCAUUUAAGGCUGAGAGUAUGCGAAGAAUAAGCACCGGCUAACUACGUGCCAGCCGCCGCAGUAA